This 120-nucleotide ribosomal RNA is filed under the name Petromyzon marinus (sea lamprey). The record is from RNAcentral. Lineage: Eukaryota; Metazoa; Chordata; Hyperoartia; Petromyzontiformes; Petromyzontidae.
AUCUAUGACCAAAUCACCAUUCAUGCACCAGAUCUCGUUGGAUCUUUUGAAGCUAAACAGGUUCGGGCCUGGUUCGGGCUUGGUUGGGUGACCACCAACUCGUCCCAGGUGUUGCAGACG